RNAcentral lists this ribosomal RNA (159 nucleotides) under Escherichia coli. RNAcentral describes it as "partial 16S ribosomal RNA". It matches the Rfam family "Bacterial small subunit ribosomal RNA", at positions 1 to 153 of the family's 1533-position model. Lineage: Bacteria; Pseudomonadati; Pseudomonadota; Gammaproteobacteria; Enterobacterales; Enterobacteriaceae. RNAcentral also lists the same sequence under 8 other names. The record is from RNAcentral.
AAAUUGAAGAGUUUGAUCAUGGCUCAGAUUGAACGCUGGCGGCAGGCCUAACACAUGCAAGUCGAACGGUAACAGGAAGCAGCUUGCUGCUUCGCUGACGAGUGGCGGACGGGUGAGUAAUGUCUGGGAAACUGCCUGAUGGAGGGGGAUAACUACUGG